RNAcentral lists this transfer RNA (66 nucleotides) under Paraleptophlebia submarginata. RNAcentral's name for it is "tRNA-Trp". The record is from RNAcentral. Lineage: Eukaryota; Metazoa; Arthropoda; Insecta; Ephemeroptera; Leptophlebiidae.
AAGGUUUUAUGUUAAAUAAACAAAUAGCCUUCAAAGCUGUAAAUAAAGUCAUCACUUUAAGCCUUA